Acinonyx jubatus (cheetah) is the source of this 2919-nucleotide long non-coding RNA. RefSeq lists it as uncharacterized. NCBI's taxonomy places the organism in Eukaryota, Metazoa, Chordata, Mammalia, Carnivora, Felidae. The record is from RefSeq and is a predicted model, not a curated record. The transcript has 4 exons.
AAUCAUACUUAUGGUUUAAGAACUUGGUACUUUAUUUUGGUAGGAGCUGCCCUGUGGUACUGAGCCUGGGUCCUACAUUGUUCUGAUGUCACUCCUCCAGCUCGUGUUUUGUCUGUUAGUGGUAUCAUCUGGCAUUAUAUAGAGGCUUAGAAUGAAUAUACAUCUACGUAACUGAAAUGACAAAAUAAACUCUUGAAGGAACAGGUCUGUGAAACAGUUCACUAGCUUCACUUUCUGUGGAGAAACAAGGCAAACAUUUGGAAUAUCUGAGGAUACAUAAGGGACAACAGGCCAUGUGCUCAGAGAGUUUCAGAAGCUUCCGGGUCUGACGUUGCUAUGGCCUUUGUUUUUCUUCCUGGGCUGACUUGUGGGUCUGAGUCUGCAAGGCAGCUUCUCCAGGCAAAGACCAGGUGUCCUUGGCCUUGUGUCUUCACUAGAUUCUUAUUCAAGGGCUAGAGGGUAGCGUGUUGUCAGGAAAAUUGCUCAGACCCUAGGCCCAUACUUUUCUGGAAAGAUGCUGAAAUAUGGCAUGGUAACCAAUACUACAAAAAUUGGCCCUUGGAAUUCCCUUCUAGGCUAGCGAGAAUGCAGGGAGGGCUGGGGGAUGAACAGCCCGCAGAAGAACGAGAAGGGUCUGAGGAAGAGAGGGAGGGGGAGGGGAAAGAGGUGGCCAGAGGGCCUUUCCCACGCUUUUCCUUCUGCCUGAAGCAUCCCCUGACUCUUCUCCUCUUUCCCUCAGCUCUCCAAGGGUCUCCCUACCUCUCUGACUGGAUCAGACCCUUUCACACUUGUGUCCCUCCUGGACUCUUGGCUCCAUGGUCAGCUCAUUUGGCUCAUUGCUGCUUCUCUGGCAUCUACAGUGUCCUGGAGUUUUACCAAGUGAAUGACAUCACCUGCUUUAUUAUUACAUUGCAGGGGAAAGGGCAGGGCAAAAGAUGGAUUGUAAGAUAAGAGGACAUGGGAAAAGGCUAGAAAACUGUGGAUUAGAACCCUUCUAAACUCUUAGGAACCCAGCUGGGGCAUGGUAGGGUACUUCUAUCUGGGAGCUGUUCAUUUACUGAAGUUUUUUUUUUUUUUUUUUUAAGUUUAUUUAUUUGAGAGAGAGAAAGGGAGAGAGAGAGAGAGAGGGAGAGAGAAUGUGAGUGGGGGAGGGGCAAAGAGGAAGGGAGAGAGAGAAUCCCAAGCAGAUUCAGUGCUGUCAGUGCAGAGCCUGAUGUUGGACUCGAUCCCGUGAACUGUGAGAUCAUGACCUGAGCUGAAAUCAAGAGUCAGAUGCUCAACCGACUGAGCCACCCAGGCGCCUGAAGUUCUGUUUUUUAAAUCUGAUGUUACCUCUGUAUCAUUUACCUACAUUGUAGUUGGGGAUGUACUCCAUUAUUCCUAAGAAUACCAUAGAUAGUGAUAGUCAUACCCCAUUUCUGGAAGAAUUUUUAGCUGGGCAUGUGGCUAUCCAAAAUAAAUUUCCCAGCCUUCUUUGAAGAUAAGUGCAUGUGCCCAAUGGCCCUGCGAUCCUAAGUAGAAAUAUCGUGUCCAGCUUCCAGGUUGUAACCUUAAAAGGAGAGGGGCGUGUCUUCCAGCUCCUCUCUUCCCCGUUCCCUCUGGCUGAAAUGUGAAAUUCUUUGGGAGCUAUCCUGGGCCAUAUGGAUGAGGCUGCAGGCCGGGGCUGGCAGAGCCAUGAGGCAGAUGUGGCCUGGGCCUGGCACCAAACACUGGACAGCUUCACUUGGACUGCCGACGUCAGAGAGAAGUUUCCCUCUGGGACUAGUUACAGACUCUGAAUCCAUCCCCUAAUUCCGACACCCAGCUCUGAGCAGUCAGAAAUGAAAGGGCUGGAAGCAUCAUCCUGGGGUCAGUGGCCUGGUGGUAAAAAAUGUUAUUGAGUCACCUCAUUUGUAGAACAAAUGACAGUACUUUGGCUGUCACAGUGAGUGAUUCCUGUUUAGUAAAUGGGAACAGUUCAAGAAGUGCUCUUUCCUCAUCACCAUCCGAGUCCUCAUUUCCGUACUUCAAGUAGAGGCAGGGAUCAAAAGCUCUGGACUUGGUGCCAGACAACCUUGAGUUUGAAACUUCAGCCCCGUCACUGACUACUGUCCCCAUACCUAUGUCAUAAGGCCAUUAUGAAGAUGUAGUGAGAUAAGAUGCACAGAACAUGGCCAGAGGAAGCACCAAAUCAGAGUCCUACACUAUUGUUUGUGUGUAGGACUUUUUCCCUAGCAACCGACAGAAACCUAAUUGAAGCUGGCUUUCACAUUUUGUGAUCUCUAAGCAGCAUCCUGGGCAUUAUUGGGCUUUGCAGCUCGUUAAGAGAAGCCACCACCAAAUCGUGUUCCUGCAGCAUUUCCGGGUAGCGGGACACCGCUCGCUCAAUCCUCGCCGACCGGCGCACGGGAGUGAUCAGCUUCAUGUCGUGCACUUCUGCUAUUCCACUUAUCCUGUGAGACAGAAAGAGCUGGGGAGGUUGCCCCUGCUUGGCACUCGGCGUCCCCUCCCUGUGGGGCUGGGAGGAAAGGGACGUUGGAUCUGUAAGCGCAGGACAGAUGAGGGUGAAGAGAGAAAGACAAGACUUUUCAGAUUCCGUUUUAUUGGCCAGCUCUUCUAUUGACGUUAUAUUCGUCUCGACAACUGAAGAGUCAGAGGUAACUCCUGUGUAUGCAAGGUCAACAAGGAAAGUGAGGUUUAGAAAGUUAAUACUGAAACUAAAAGUCAAUAAAAUGACAAAUCAAUAUAUACAAUGAUUUCUCAAUUAAAAUAAAGAGGAACUGAUUUGAAAUGGGACAUAGAACUAGUUUUUCCUGCUCAGCUCUCUAGCAAUGCCCUGCUACAUCAGGCCAUCUUUCUAACCUGCCCUCCAGGCAGUCUUUGGACCUUCUUGCCACUUGAGAUGGAUCCUUGAUACCUUUUCAACAUUCUGAACACAUA